UACAGAGGGGGCAAGCGUUGUUCGGAAUUACUGGGCGUAAAGGGCGCGUAGGCGGCCUUCUAAGUCGAACGUGAAAUCCCCGGGCUCAACCCGGGAACUGCGUCCGAUACUGGAAGGCUUGAAUCCGGGAGAGGGAUGCGGAAUUCCAGGUGUAGCGGUGAAAUGUGUAGAGAUCGGGAGGAACACCGGUGGCGAAGGCGACUUCCUGGCCUGUUCUUGACGCUGAGGCGCGAAAGCUAGGGGAGCAAACGGG
Molecule: ribosomal RNA, 253 nt
Filed under: uncultured bacterium
Lineage: Bacteria
Description: partial 16S ribosomal RNA
Rfam family: Bacterial small subunit ribosomal RNA
Source: RNAcentral